CGUCUAUAUACGUAUAGCAUAUCAAUAAGCGGAGGAAAAGAAACUAACUAGGAUUCCCUUAGUAACGGCGAGUGAAGCGGGAAGAGCUCAAAUUUGAAAUCUUCAAGGUUUUACCUUGACGAAUUGUAGUUUAAAGAGGUGUUUUCUGUUGGAAGUUUUGGUAAAAGUUCUUUGGAAAUAGGACAUCAUAGAGGGUGAGAAUCCCGUAUUUGACCAUUAUUUCCAACUUUGUGAUACACUUUCAAAGAGUCGGAUUGUUUGGGAAUGCAGUCCAAAAUGGGUGGUAAAUUUCAUCUAAAGCUAAAUACUGGCGAGAGACCGAUAGCGAACAAGUACCGUGAGGGAAAGAUGAAAAGAACUUUGAAAAGAGAGUUAAACAGUACGUGAAAUUGUCAAAAGGGAAGCGUUUGACACCAGUGUUGUUUUCUCGAAAAUCAAUUAAAAAUGGUGGGAUUUUGUGUUGUAUUGACUUUAUCAGCUUUCUGCACUUUUUUCCUGUCUUUUUUAAUGCACUUUUCGUUUAACAAGUCAACAUCAAUUUCUUUUGUUGUAAAAGGGUCAUUGGAAGGUGGCUUUCUUUUCGGAGAAAGUGUUUAUAGCCUUUGGCCUCUGCAGUCGGAGAGAUUGAGGUCUGCAGCGUAGAUCCUUCGGGGUUAGAUGCAUUUGUGCUAAGCUAUAGCCUUUCAUAGACAACUUGUUGACUAUGAUCAGUCAUGUAGCUUACUCGCUUAUGUCUAUUUUACCUACGCUUAGGAUGUUGACGAUCAGCUGAGCGCG
Molecule: ribosomal RNA, 777 nt
Filed under: uncultured Neocallimastigales
Lineage: Eukaryota; Fungi; Neocallimastigomycota; Neocallimastigomycetes; Neocallimastigales
Description: partial large subunit ribosomal RNA
Rfam family: Eukaryotic large subunit ribosomal RNA
Source: RNAcentral